AGGCAAGAAGCGAUAAUGGCAAAGAGAAAAGUCGGUGUAUCCAAAACAACAACAUCAACCGCAAUGAAUCCCAAGACCUUGACCUUCACCUUGGCCCUGACCCUGGUAGCCUUGACCUCCAUGACCUGGGCCCAGGAGGAGCUGGAGGUUCCCAGUGAAGAGAAGGCAGAGGAGGGGGUGCGUGAGGCCUUGCCUGUACCCAACAAGAACUUCCAGGAGCAAGAUCGCCGUGAUCUCGAUAUUGCAAAGCGAGGAUGGUUCACGAAAAUGUUAAAAAAAUGUCAGGAAAGUCGUUACAAAGGCGAAGCCCUACAUUAGUCUCGCUGAGCAGAUCGCAAGGCGGCAAACGAGAAAUUAUGGAGGUAGGUUUGCUAAUAGGGUAAAGGCCAGUAGAGCGCGGAGGGGGGUGGGGUAUCGUUGUGUUUGCUUAUCUUGUAUGUGUCGUUAUUUUAGUGAUUGUUUGUGGUGUGAUAUUCCAUAAUAUAUAUAAUAAUACAGUAUGGUGAAUACAUACUGCCCCUGUUGUUGCCAGAGUGGGCCCCAGUCAUAACAGUUUGGAUAUAACAGGAUUCCAGGCUAAUAAUAAAUCCCGGACUCCGAUCUCUUAUAUUGCCCAGAAAGAAAAAAGUUCUAGGGCACUCGGACAGACAUGCUCGGCUAUAACAG
Aplysia californica (California sea hare) is the source of this 666-nucleotide long non-coding RNA. RefSeq lists it as uncharacterized. The record is from RefSeq and is a predicted model, not a curated record. The transcript has 3 exons. Lineage: Eukaryota; Metazoa; Mollusca; Gastropoda; Aplysiida; Aplysiidae.